UGGGGAAUUUUGGACAAUGGGCGAAAGCCUGAUCCAGCAAUGCCGCGUGUGUGAAGAAGGCCUUCGGGUUGUAAAGCACUUUUGUCCGGAAAGAAAUCCUUGGCUCUAAUACAGCCGGGGGAUGACGGUACCGGAAGAAUAAGCACCGGCUAACUACGUGCCAGCAGCCGCGGUAAUACGUAGGGUGCAAGCGUUAAUCGGAAUUACUGGGCGUAAAGCGUGCGCAGGCGGUUUGCUAAGACCGAUGUGAAAUCCCCGGGCUCAACCUGGGAACUGCAUUGGUGACUGGCAGGCUAGAGUAUGGCAGAGGGGGGUAGAAUUCCACGUGUAGCAGUGAAAUGCGUAGAGAUGUGGAGGAAUACCGAUGGCGAAGGCAGCCCCCUGGGCCAAUACUGACGCUCAUGCACGAAAGCGUGGGGAGCAAACAGGAUUAGAUACCCUGGUAGUCCACGCCCUAAAACGAUGUCAACUAGUUGUUGGGGAUUCAUUUCCUUAGUAACGUAGCUAACGCGUGAAGUUGACCGCCUGGGGAGUACGGUCGCAAGAUUAAAACUCAAAUGAAUUGAC
RNAcentral lists this ribosomal RNA (567 nucleotides) under uncultured bacterium. RNAcentral's name for it is "partial 16S ribosomal RNA". It matches the Rfam family "Bacterial small subunit ribosomal RNA", at positions 355 to 914 of the family's 1533-position model. The record is from RNAcentral.